GAUGAACGCUGGCGGCGUGCCUAAUACAUGCCAGUCGAGCGAACGGACGAGAAGCUUGCUUCUCUGAUGUUAGCGGCGGACGGGUGAGUAACACGUGGAUAACCUACCUAUAAGACUGAGAUAACUUCGGGAAACCGGAGCUAAUACCGGAUAAUAUUUUGAACCGCAUGGUUCAAAAGUGAAAGACGGUCUUGCUGUCACUUAUAGAUGGAUCCGCGCUGCAUUAGCUAGUUGGUAAGGUAACGGCUUACCAAGGCAACGAGGCAUAGCCGACCUGAGAGGGUGAUCGGCCACACGGGAACUGAGACACGGUCCAGACUCCUACGGGAGGCAGCAGUAGGGAAUCUUCCGCAAUGGGCGAAAGCCUGACGGAGCAACGCCGCGUGAGUGAUGAAGGUCUUCGGAUCGUAAAACUCUGUUAUUAGGGAAGAACAUAUGUGUAAGUAACUGUGCACAUCUUGACGGUACCUAAUCAGAAAGCCACGGCUAACUACGUG
This 497-nucleotide ribosomal RNA is filed under the name uncultured bacterium. Its description in RNAcentral is "partial 16S ribosomal RNA". It matches the Rfam family "Bacterial small subunit ribosomal RNA", at positions 28 to 507 of the family's 1533-position model. The record is from RNAcentral.